Molecule: unclassified non-coding RNA, 193 nt
Filed under: Pluteus podospileus
Lineage: Eukaryota; Fungi; Basidiomycota; Agaricomycetes; Agaricales; Pluteaceae
Description: partial internal transcribed spacer 2
Source: RNAcentral
AAUCCUCAACCCCAUCUCCCUUGUGGUGAUUAGGUGUUGGACGUGGAAGCUGCUGGCUUGUUUCUCAAGUCGGCUCUUCUGAAAUAGAUUAGCAGGGCCACGCUGUGCGGCUUGGUAUUGAUAGUUGUCUUACCAGGUAGCUGAAAGCAUGUUAGUCCAGCUUCAAGCCGUCUCUUUGGAGACAACAUUGACG